UGAGGUUAAGUUAACAAGGGCGCAUGGUGAAUGCCUUGGCACUAGGAGCCGAUGAAGGACGGGACUAACACCGAUAUGCUUCGGGGAGCUGUACGUAAGCUAUGAUCCGGAGAUUUCCGAAUGGGGCAACCCAGCAGUUUUAAUCAACUGUUACCACUAGAUGAAUUCAUAGUCUAGUUGGAGGUAAACGCUGUGAACUGAAACAUCUCAUUAGCAGCAGGAAUAUAAAGAAAUUUCGAUUCCCUAAGUAGCGGCGAGCGAACGGGGAACAGCCCAAACCAAAGUGCUUGCACUUUGGGGUUGUAGGACUGAACAUUUGAGUUACCAAAGAACUUGAUAGUCGAAGGAUUUGGGAAAAUCCGCCAUAGAUGGUGAUAGCCCAGUAGAUUAAAUCAAAUUCUCUCAGUUCAGGAUCCUGAGUACGGCGGAACACGUGAAAUUCCGUCGGAAUCCGGGAGGACCAUCUCCCAAGGCUAAAUACUACCUAGUGACCGAUAGUGAACCAGUACCGUGAGGGAAAGGUGAAAAGCACCCCGGGAGGGGAGUGAAAUAGUUCCUGAAACCAUGUGCCUACAAUAAGUCAGAGCGCGUUAAUGCGUGAUGGCGUGCCUUUUGUAGAAUGAACCGGCGAGUUAUGAUCCCGUGCAAGGUUAAGACUAAAAAGUCGGAGCCGUAGCGAAAGCGAGUCUGAAAUGGGCGCUUUGAGUACGAGGUUAUAGACCCGAAACCAGGUGACCUAUCCAUGUCCAGGUUGAAGG
Molecule: ribosomal RNA, 758 nt
Filed under: Lactiplantibacillus plantarum
Lineage: Bacteria; Bacillati; Bacillota; Bacilli; Lactobacillales; Lactobacillaceae
Description: Lactobacillus plantarum partial 23S ribosomal RNA
Rfam family: Bacterial large subunit ribosomal RNA
Source: RNAcentral